AUCCACUAUGUUGUCAUCUCAGCCAGAAAGGGCAAAGACUAUCCUCAAAGAGUCUUAUUUCUUUUCUUUUGAACUUCCCAAAUUUUUUGUAGCCCUAGUGUUAGGGUAUGGGAGGAAUGAGGUGGUGGGGGACUUGAGUUUCUCAAUUGGAUACAGAUCAACCGACCCUUUACAUAUUAGGUAAACAAACUACUUGUACAAGAGGUCACACAAUCUAAAUAAGGAAACUGAGCCAGAAGAUGUACACCACUCUUACUCUGUAUGCUGUUACGACUGAGUAAAGCAUUAACACACCUCAUUGCUUGAUAUUCAAUCUAGAAGAUCCGAUUUCUGAAUCAGAAUACAGCAAUGCCUGAGGCAAGGGUAACCUCCUCAUCAGCAGGGUAAAGGCAACUUUUAAUAUGCUGAAUAUUACAUUUGCUGUACUAUCAAUUUCAUCCUCAUACUGCUCAUAAAUGAGGAAUGAAGUGAAUGCCAGUGCUAGUGCUACACCAAGUGCAAAAGUCAAGCAAUCCGAAAUAACCAACUUCAAAACAUAUAGGGGUAUUGCAGCCUUCAGAAAUAUAUGCCAAUCCUCUCCUUGGGCAAGUAAUUUUGCUAAAUGACUCACUCUGUUCCACAUAUAUGCUACGUUGUAAAAGCAAUUUCUCAUAUCCACUUCAGAGAUCUCAAAGAAGGACCAUGAUAUUCUGGGAACUGAAAUCCCAUAUAUUGUUGGUGGCAGAAUGCUGUAUCCCCAGAGAGCAACAGCAAUCAUUAGUAAAAGCUGGGAAAGAGAUGAAAGAAAACUCCUCCCGGACAGAAAGAACCAGUAAUGGAUGAAAACCAGCAAAAGAAAACAAGUAAAUGUUCUCUGCUCAUCUCUCCACAGUAAGAUUUCUGCAACUUUUCCACCUCCUAGAAGUUUAUGCACUUUUGACUCCUCAUCGGUGUCACUAUAGCUUGAGAAAGAUGACUCUCUGGUUAAUUGAGAGGACUUAGCGGUUACAGCAACUCCUUCUUCAAGGGAAACAACUGGAGAAUAUCCAAUAUAUUUCUGAGCUGCCGAGCAAUUAAAUUUCCUAUGGCACAAUGCUAAUUCAAUAAUAUCAAAAACUGGAACAUUCUCGGUACUCCAGUUGCUCAUCCUUGAAACAGUCCAUUUUAUGAUCAAAGUAACAUAUUGGGUAACCAUAUCAGGAAUCUUGAUAAUCGACCUUUGAUAUCCCAAUCUCUGAAAUACAAGAGAUACAAAAUCCUUGAACUUCAUCGGCUUGAGAUUAGUGAUGAAAAAGGCCUUGCCACAUACAUGACUCCCCCUAGAACUUAGAGCUUUGUCUGCACAUAUAUGUGCAUAGGCAACAUUCUCCACAUAGGUGAAGUCGGUCAUAUUGUCACCAAGUCCUAUAAUAAACUUGCCCCAGCCAGAUUUUGCAACACCGACCAGCAAAGAAGAGAGAUAAUUGUCUCCGGGUCCAAAAGCAUAGCUGGGACGAAGUGCGCAAGUAAGAAGGCCAUCAGCAUCAUUUGCAACUAAAACUAGAGCCUCUGCUUGAGCCUUAAGAUCAGUUACCAUGUUCACAAAUUUACUGGAAUAUGGUAAGGACUCAUCCCCACCAUUUAUAUCCUGCCAGCUGUUCAAAACUACAUCAGCAGAACUGUUGUAUAAUAGCCUUUUGACUUUACACUCUUG
Molecule: unclassified non-coding RNA, 1672 nt
Filed under: Hevea brasiliensis (rubber tree)
Lineage: Eukaryota; Viridiplantae; Streptophyta; Magnoliopsida; Malpighiales; Euphorbiaceae
Source: RNAcentral